GAGUUUGAUCGUGGCUCAGGACGAACGCUGGCGGCGUGCUUAACACAUGCAAGCCGAACGGUGACGACGGAGCUUGCUCUGUCUGAUCAGUGGCGAACGGGUGAGUAACACGUGAGUAACCUGCCCCCGACUCUGGAAUAACCGUGGGAAACGACGGCUAAUACCGGAUAUGAGACGCACAGGCAUCUGUGUGUCUGGAAAGAUUUAUCGGUCAGGGAUGGACUCGCGGCCUAUCAGCUUGUGGUGGGUAAUGGCCCACCAAGGCGACGACGGGUAGCCGGCCUGAGAGGGCGACCGGCCACACUGGGACUGAGAUACGGCCCAGACUCCUACGGGAGCAGCAGUGGGAAUAUUGCACAAUGGGCGCAAGCCUGAUGCAGCGACGCCGCGUGAGGGAUGAAGGCC
This 405-nucleotide ribosomal RNA is filed under the name uncultured bacterium. RNAcentral describes it as "bacterial SSU rRNA". It matches the Rfam family "Bacterial small subunit ribosomal RNA", at positions 9 to 416 of the family's 1533-position model. The record is from RNAcentral.